GACGAACGCUGGCGGCGUGCUUAACACAUGCAAGUCGAACGGAAAGGCCUGCUUUCCCUUGUGGAUUGCGGGUACUCGAGUGGCGAACGGGUGAGUAACACGUGAGUGAUCUGCCCCCAACUUGGGUAUAAGCCUGGGAAACUGGGUCUAAUUCCCGAUAGGACUGCAGGGUGGUGCCUGUGGUGGAAAACGAUUUUCUAGUGGUUGGGGAUGAGCUCGCGGCCUAUCAGCUUGUUGGUGGGGUAAUGGCCUACCAAGGCGGCGACGGGUAGCCGGCCUGGGAGGGUGGACGGCCACAUUGGGACUGGGAUACGGCCCAGACUCCUACGGGAGGCAGCAGUGGGGAAUAUUGCACAAGGGGCGGAAGCCUGAUGCAGCGACGCCGCGUGGGGGAUGACGGCCUUCGGGUUGUAAACUCCUUUCGACCGCGAGGAAGCCACCUGGUUGGAAGGGUGGUGACGGUAGUGGUAGAAGAAGCACCGGCUAACUACGUG
RNAcentral lists this ribosomal RNA (494 nucleotides) under uncultured bacterium. RNAcentral's name for it is "partial 16S ribosomal RNA". It matches the Rfam family "Bacterial small subunit ribosomal RNA", at positions 28 to 507 of the family's 1533-position model. The record is from RNAcentral.